GGCAGGCUUAACGCAUGCAAGUCGAGGGGCAGCAUGCUUUUAGCUUGCUAAGGCCGAUGGCGACCGGCGCACGGGUGAGUAACACGUAUCCAACCUGCCGUCUACUCUUGGACAGUCUUCUGAAAGGAAGAUUAAUACAAGAUGGCAUCAUGAGUCCGCAUGUUCACAUGAUUAAAGGUAUUCCGGUAGACGAUGGGGAUGCGUUCCAUUAGAUAGUAGGCGGGGUAACGGCCCACCUAGUCUUCGAUGGAUAGGGGUUCUGAGAGGAAGGUCCCCCACAUUGGAACUGAGACACGGUCCAAACUCCUACGGGAGGCAGCAGUGAGGAAUAUUGGUCAAUGGGCGAGAGCCUGAACCAGCCAAGUAGCGUGAAGGAUGACUGCCCUAUGGGUUGUAAACUUCUUUUAUAAAGGAAUAAAGUCGGGUAUGGAUACCCGUUUGCAUGUACUUUAUGAAUAAGGAUCGGCUAACUCCGUGCCAGCAGCCGCGGUAAUACGGAGGAUCCGAGCGUUAUCCGGAUUUAUUGGGUUUAAAGGGAGCGUAGAUGGAUGUUUAAGUCAGUUGUGAAAGUUUGCGGCUCAACCGUAAAAUUGCAGUUGAUACUGGAUAUCUUGAGUGCAGUUGAGGCAGGCGGAAUUCGUGGUGUAGCGGUGAAAUGCUUAGAUAUCACGAAGAACUCCGAUUGCGAAGGCAGCCUGCUAAGCUGCAACUGACAUUGAGGCUCGAAAGUGUGGGUAUCAAACAGGAUUAGAUACCCUGGUAGUCCACACGGUAAACGAUGAAUACUCGCUGUUUGCGAUAUACUGCAAGCGGCCAAGCGAAAGCGUUAAGUAUUCCACCUGGGGAGUACGCCGGCAACGGUGAAACUCAAAGGAAUUGACGGGGGCCCGCACAAGCGGAGGAACAUGUGGUUUAAUUCGAUGAUACGCGAGGAACCUUACCCGGGCUUAAAUUGCAGAUGAAUUACGGUGAAAGCCGUAAGCCGCAAGGCAUCUGCGAAGGUGCUGCAUGGUUGUCGUCAGCUCGUGCCGUGAGGUGUCGGCUUAAGUGCCAUAACGAGCGCAACCCUUGUUGUCAGUUACUAACAGGUUCCGCUGAGGACUCUGACAAGACUGCCAUCGUAAGAUGUGAGGAAGGUGGGGAUGACGUCAAAUCAGCACGGCCCUUACGUCCGGGGCUACACACGUGUUACAAUGGGGGGUACAGAGGGCCGCUACCACGCGAGUGGAUGCCAAUCCCCAAAACCUCUCUCAGUUCGGACUGGAGUCUGCAACCCGACUCCACGAAGCUGGAUUCGCUAGUAAUCGCGCAUCAGCCACGGCGCGGUGAAUACGUUCCCGGGCCUUGUACACACCGCCCGUCAAGCCAUGGGAGCCGGGGGUACCUGAAGUGCGUAACCGCGAGGAGCGCCCUAGGGUAAAACUGGUGACUGGGGCU
Molecule: ribosomal RNA, 1437 nt
Filed under: uncultured organism
Description: SSU rRNA
Rfam family: Bacterial small subunit ribosomal RNA
Source: RNAcentral